AUUGAACGCUGGCGGCAGGCCUAACACAUGCAAGUCGAACGGUAACAGGAAGAAGCUUGCUUCUUUGCUGACGAGUGGCGGACGGGUGAGUAAUGUCUGGGAAACUGCCUGAUGGAGGGGGAUAACUACUGGAAACGGUAGCUAAUACCGCAUAAUGUCGCAAGACCAAAGAGGGGGACCUUCGGGCCUCUUGCCAUCGGAUGUGCCCAGAUGGGAUUAGCUAGUAGGUGGGGUAACGGCUCACCUAGGCGACGAUCCCUAGCUGGUCUGAGAGGAUGACCAGCCACACUGGAACUAAGACACGGUCCAGACUCCUACGGGAGGCAGCAGUGGGGAAUAUUGCACAAUGGGCGCAAGCCUGAUGCAGCUAUGCCGCGUGUAUGAAGAAGGCCUUCGGGUUGUAAAGUACUUUCAGCGGGGAGGAAGGGAGUAAAGUUAAUACCUUUGCUCAUUGACGUUACCCGCAGAAGAAGCACCGGCUAACUCCGUG
This 490-nucleotide ribosomal RNA is filed under the name uncultured bacterium. Its description in RNAcentral is "partial 16S ribosomal RNA". It matches the Rfam family "Bacterial small subunit ribosomal RNA", at positions 30 to 507 of the family's 1533-position model. The record is from RNAcentral.